Molecule: ribosomal RNA, 808 nt
Filed under: Jatrophihabitans sp.
Lineage: Bacteria; Bacillati; Actinomycetota; Actinomycetes; Jatrophihabitantales; Jatrophihabitantaceae
Description: bacterial SSU rRNA
Rfam family: Bacterial small subunit ribosomal RNA
Source: RNAcentral
GCUUACCAUGCAAGUCGAGCGAGGCCCUUCCUUCGGGAAGGUGUCCUAGCGGCGAACGGGUGAGUAACACGUGGGCAACCUGCCCCUAGCACUGGGAUAACCCCGGGAAACCGGGGCUAAUACCGGAUAUGACUGCGGACGGCAUCUUCCGCGGUGGAAAAGGUUACUGGCUAGGGAUGGGCCCGCGGCCUAUCAGCUUGUUGGUGGGGUAACGGCCCACCAAGGCGACGACGGGUAGCCGGCCUGAGAGGGCGACCGGCCACACUGGGACUGAGACACGGCCCAGACUCCUACGGGAGGCAGCAGUGGGGAAUAUUGCACAAUGGGCGAAAGCCUGAUGCAGCGACGCCGCGUGAGGGAUGACGGCCUUCGGGUUGUAAACCUCUUUCAGCUCCGACGAAGCGAAAGUGACGGUAGGAGCAGAAGAAGCACCGGCCAACUACGUGCCAGCAGCCGCGGUAAUACGUAGGGUGCAAGCGUUGUCCGGAAUUAUUGGGCGUAAAGAGCUCGUAGGCGGCUUGUCGCGUCGACUGUGAAAACCUGGGGCUUAACCCCGGGCCUGCAGCCGAUACGGGCAAGCUAGAAUUCGGUAGGGGAGACUGGAAUUCCUGGUGUAGCGGUGAAAUGCGCAGAUAUCAGGAGGAACACCGGUGGCGAAGGCGGGUCUCUGGGCCGAUAUUGACGCUGAGGAGCGAAAGCGUGGGGAGCGAACAGGAUUAGAUACCCUGGUAGUCCACGCCGUAAACGGUGGGCGCUAGGUGUGGGCCACAUUCCACGUGGUCUGUGCCGCAGCUAACGCAUAAGCGCC